CAGUGUUGAAACACCAGUUCAUGUAUGGUCACCAAAGUGAAGCAACGUCAAGCCUGGUCAGUAUCAUGAUGGGUGAACACUUGGGAAUAUUAGGUGCUGUAAG
Non-coding RNA from Acanthosepion pharaonis, 103 nucleotides. The record is from the annotation of a GenBank genome assembly. Lineage: Eukaryota; Metazoa; Mollusca; Cephalopoda; Sepiida; Sepiidae.